CCUACGGGAGGCAGCAGUGGGGAAUAUUGCACAAUGGGCGAAACCCUGAUGCAGCGACGCCGCGUGAGUGAAGAAGUAUUUCGGUAUGUUAAGCUCCGUCAGCAGGGAAGCAAAUGACGGUACCUGACCAAGAAGCCCUGGCUAACUACGUGCCAGCAGCCGUGGUAACACGGAGGCGGCAACCGUUAUCCGGAUUUACUGGGCGUAAAGGGAGUGUAGACGGCAUGGCAAGUCUGGAGUGAAAGGCGGGGGUUCAACCCCCGGACUGCUGUGGAAACUGGCAGGCUGGAGUGCAGGAGAGGUAAGUGGAAUUCGUGGUGUAGCGGUGAAAUGCGUAGAUAUUAGGAGGAACACCAGUGGCGAAGGCGGCUUGCUGGACUGUAACUGACGUUGAGGCUCGAAAGCGUGGGGAGCAAACAGGAUUAGAUACCCGUGUAGUC
This 440-nucleotide ribosomal RNA is filed under the name uncultured bacterium. RNAcentral's name for it is "partial 16S ribosomal RNA". It matches the Rfam family "Bacterial small subunit ribosomal RNA", at positions 338 to 795 of the family's 1533-position model. The record is from RNAcentral.